GCCUGGGUGGCUCAGUCGGUUGAGCAUCCGACUUCAGCUCAGGUCAUGAUCUCACGGUUUGUGGGUUCGAGCCCCGCAUCGGGCU
Molecule: transfer RNA, 85 nt
Filed under: Felis catus (domestic cat)
Lineage: Eukaryota; Metazoa; Chordata; Mammalia; Carnivora; Felidae
Rfam family: tRNA
About the family: Transfer RNA (tRNA) molecules are approximately 80 nucleotides in length. Their secondary structure includes four short double-helical elements and three loops (D, anti-codon, and T loops).
Source: Rfam by way of RNAcentral